RNAcentral lists this ribosomal RNA (1357 nucleotides) under uncultured bacterium. RNAcentral describes it as "bacterial SSU rRNA". It matches the Rfam family "Bacterial small subunit ribosomal RNA", at positions 28 to 1387 of the family's 1533-position model. The record is from RNAcentral.
GAUGAACGCUGGCGGCGUGCUUAACACAUGCAAGUCGAACGGGAAACCUUUUAUUGAAGCCUCGGCAGAUUUAGAUUGUUUCUAGUGGCGGACGGGUGAGUAACGCGUGGGUAACCUGCCUUAUACAGGGGGAUAACAGUCAGAAAUGACUGCUAAUACCGCAUAAGCGCACGGAGCUGCAUGGCUCGGUGUGAAAAACUCCGGUGGUAUAAGAUGGACCCGCGUUGGAUUAGCUAGUUGGUGGGGUAACGGCCCACCAAGGCGACGAUCCAUAGCCGGCCUGAGAGGGUGAACGGCCACAUUGGGACUGAGACACGGCCCAGACUCCUACGGGAGGCAGCAGUGGGGAAUAUUGCACAAUGGGGGAAACCCUGAUGCAGCGACGCCGCGUGAAGGAAGAAGUAUCUCGGUAUGUAAACUUCUAUCAGCAGGGAAGAAAAUGACGGUACCUGACUAAGAAGCCCCGGCUAACUACGUGCCAGCAGCCGCGGUAAUACGUAGGGGGCAAGCGUUAUCCGGAUUUACUGGGUGUAAAGGGAGCGUAGACGGAUGGACAAGUCUGAUGUGAAAGGCUGGGGCUCAACCCCGGGACUGCAUUGGAAACUGCCCGUCUUGAGUGCCGGAGAGGUAAGCGGAAUUCCUAGUGUAGCGGUGAAAUGCGUAGAUAUUAGGAGGAACACCAGUGGCGAAGGCGGCUUACUGGACGGUAACUGACGUUGAGGCUCGAAAGCGUGGGGAGCAAACAGGAUUAGAUACCCUGGUAGUCCACGCGGUAAACGACGAAAGCGGGUGUCGGGUGACAAAGUCAUUCGGUGCCGCCGCAAACGCAUUAAGCAUUCCCACCUGGGGAGUACGUUCGCAAGAAAGAAACUCAAAGGAAAUGACGGGGGGCCGCACAAGCGGUGGAGCAUGUGGUUUAAUUUGAAGCAACGCGAAGAACCUUACCAAGUCUUGACAUCCCUCUGACCGACUCUUAACCGAGUCUUUCCUUCGGGACAGAGGAGACAGGUGGUGCAUGGUUGUCGUCAGCUCGUGUCGUGAGAUGUUGGGUUAAGUCCCGCAACGAGCGCAACCCCUAUCCUCAGUAGCCAGCAUUUAAGAUGGGCACUCUGGGGAGACUGCCAGGGAUAACCUGGAGGAAGGCGGGGAGGACGUCAAAUCAUCAUGCCCCCUAUGAUUUGGGCUACACACGUGCUACAAUGGCGUAAACAAAGGGAAGCGAACCUGCGAGGGGGGGCAAAUCCCAAAAAUAACGUCCCAGUUCGGACUGUAGUCUGCAACCCGACUACACGAAGCUGGAAUCGCUAGUAAUCGCGGAUCUGAAUGCCGCGGUGAAUAAAAUCCCGGGUCUUGCACA